This 942-nucleotide ribosomal RNA is filed under the name Prevotella sp. Its description in RNAcentral is "bacterial SSU rRNA". It matches the Rfam family "Bacterial small subunit ribosomal RNA", at positions 1 to 933 of the family's 1533-position model. Lineage: Bacteria; Pseudomonadati; Bacteroidota; Bacteroidia; Bacteroidales; Prevotellaceae. The record is from RNAcentral.
AUCAUGGAGAGUUUGAUUCUGGCUCAGAAUGAACGCUGGCGGCGGGUCUUAAGCAUGCAAGUCGGACGGCAAGGGAGUGCUUGCACUCCCCUAGAGUGGCGGACUGGUGAGGAACACGUUGGUGACGUACCCUUUGGAUGGGGAUAGCCGGUAGAAAUACCGGGUAAUACCGAAUAAGGUCGGUGGUCUCGGAAGCCACCGAGGAAAGCAGCUUCGGCUGCGCCGAAGGAACGGCCUGCGUCCCAUCAGCUUGUUGGCGGGGUAAAAGCCCACCAAGGCAAUGACGGGUAUCUGGCCUGAGAGGGUGAGCAGACACAUUGGGACUGAGAUACGGCCCAGACUCCUACGGGAGGCAGCAGCUAAGAAUAUUCCACAAUGGGCGAAAGCCUGAUGGAGCCACGCCGCGUGGACGAUGAAGGCCGGAAGGUUGUAAAGUCCUUUAGCAAGUGAGGAAUAAGCGGGACAGGGAAUGGUCUCGUGGUGACUGUAGCUUGAGAAUAAGGGUCGGCUAAUUACGUGCCAGCAGCCGCGGUAACACGUAAGACCCUAGCGUUAUUCGGAAUUAUUGGGCGUAAAGGGCACGCAGGCGGUCUGGUAAGUUUGGAGUGAAAUUACGGAGCUUAACUCCGUAGCUGCUUUGGAUACUGCUGGACUUGAAUCAGUGAGGGGUGACCGGAAUACCUAGUGUAGGGGUGAAAUCUGUAGAUAUUAGGUAGAACACCGGUGGCGAAGGCAGGUCACCAGCACAUGAUUGACGCUCAGGUGCGAAGGUGCGGGGAUCAAACAGGAUUAGAUACCCUGGUAGUCCGCACAGUAAACGAUGCACACUUGGUGUUCGCUCUUAAGAGUGGGUGCCGUAGUUAACGCUUUAAGUGUGCCGCCUGGGAAGUAUGCCCGCAAGGGUGAAACUCAAAGAAAUUGACGGGGAUGUCUUGAAAUGAG